RNAcentral lists this transfer RNA (68 nucleotides) under Marmota monax (woodchuck). Its description in RNAcentral is "tRNA.Ala". Lineage: Eukaryota; Metazoa; Chordata; Mammalia; Rodentia; Sciuridae. The record is from RNAcentral.
GUUGUGGCUCAGUGGUAGAGUGCUCGCCUAGCACAUGUGAGGUCCUGGGUUUGAUCCUUAGCAUCACA